This 492-nucleotide ribosomal RNA is filed under the name uncultured bacterium. Its description in RNAcentral is "partial 16S ribosomal RNA". It matches the Rfam family "Bacterial small subunit ribosomal RNA", at positions 29 to 507 of the family's 1533-position model. The record is from RNAcentral.
AGUGAACGCUGGCGGUAGGCCUAACACAUGCAAGUCGAACGGCAGCACAGUAAGAGCUUGCUCUUACGGGUGGCGAGUGGCGGACGGGUGAGGAAUACAUCGGAAUCUACUUUUUCGUGGGGGAUAACGUAGGGAAACUUAAGCUAAUACCGCAUACGACCUACGGGUGAAAGCAGGGGAUCUUCGGACCUUGCGCGAUUGAAUGAGCCGAUGUCGGAUUAGCUAGUUGGCGGGGUAAAGGCCCACCAAGGCGACGAUCCGUAGCUGGUCUGAGAGGAUGAUCACCCACACUGGAACUGAGACACGGUCCAGACUCCUACGGGAGGCAGCAGUGGGGAAUAUUGGACAAUGGGCGCAAGCCUGAUCCAGCCAUACCGCGUGGGUGAAGAAGGCCUUCGGGUUGUAAAGCCCUUUUGUUGGGAAAGAAAAGCAGCAGGUUAAUACCCCGCUGUUCUGACGGUACCCAAAGAAUAAGCACCGGCUAACUUCGUG